Molecule: transfer RNA, 65 nt
Filed under: Lawsonella clevelandensis
Lineage: Bacteria; Bacillati; Actinomycetota; Actinomycetes; Mycobacteriales; Lawsonellaceae
Also listed under: 1 other name
Rfam family: tRNA
About the family: Transfer RNA (tRNA) molecules are approximately 80 nucleotides in length. Their secondary structure includes four short double-helical elements and three loops (D, anti-codon, and T loops). Further hydrogen bonds mediate the characteristic L-shaped molecular structure. tRNAs have two regions of fundamental functional importance: the anti-codon, which is responsible for specific mRNA codon recognition, and the 3' end, to which the tRNAs corresponding amino acid is attached (by aminoacyl-tRNA synthetases). tRNAs cope with the degeneracy of the genetic code in two manners: having more than one tRNA (with a specific anti-codon) for a particular amino acid; and 'wobble' base-pairing, i.e. permitting non-standard base-pairing at the 3rd anti-codon position.
Source: RNAcentral
GAGUGGCGCAAUUGGUAGCGCACCCGACUUGUAAUCGGAAGGUUGCGGGUUCAAGUCCCGUCUCU